This 1024-nucleotide ribosomal RNA is filed under the name Salmonella enterica subsp. enterica serovar Oslo. RNAcentral describes it as "partial 23S ribosomal RNA". It matches the Rfam family "Bacterial large subunit ribosomal RNA", at positions 1924 to 2925 of the family's 2925-position model. Lineage: Bacteria; Pseudomonadati; Pseudomonadota; Gammaproteobacteria; Enterobacterales; Enterobacteriaceae. The record is from RNAcentral.
UAAACGGCGGCCGUAACUAUAACGGUCCUAAGGUAGCGAAAUUCCUUGUCGGGUAAGUUCCGACCUGCACGAAUGGCGUAAUGAUGGCCAGGCUGUCUCCACCCGAGACUCAGUGAAAUUGAACUCGCUGUGAAGAUGCAGUGUACCCGCGGCAAGACGGAAAGACCCCGUGAACCUUUACUAUAGCUUGACACUGAACAUUGAGCCUUGAUGUGUAGGAUAGGUGGGAGGCUUUGAAGCGUGGACGCCAGUCUGCGUGGAGCCGACCUUGAAAUACCACCCUUUAAUGUUUGAUGUUCUAACGUGGACCCGUUACCCGGGUUGCGGACAGUGUCUGGUGGGUAGUUUGACUGGGGCGGUCUCCUCCUAAAGAGUAACGGAGGAGCACGAAGGUUGGCUAAUCCUGGUCGGACAUCAGGAGGUUAGUGCAAUGGCAUAAGCCAGCUUGACUGCGAGCGUGACGGCGCGAGCAGGUGCGAAAGCAGGUCAUAGUGAUCCGGUGGUUCUGAAUGGAAGGGCCAUCGCUCAACGGAUAAAAGGUACUCCGGGGAUAACAGGCUGAUACCGCCCAAGAGUUCAUAUCGACGGCGGUGUUUGGCACCUCGAUGUCGGCUCAUCACAUCCUGGGGCUGAAGUAGGUCCCAAGGGUAUGGCUGUUCGCCAUUUAAAGUGGUACGCGAGCUGGGUUUAGAACGUCGUGAGACAGUUCGGUCCCUAUCUGCCGUGGGCGCUGGAGAACUGAGGGGGGCUGCUCCUAGUACGAGAGGACCGGAGUGGACGCAUCACUGGUGUUCGGGUUGUCAUGCCAAUGGCACUGCCCGGUAGCUAAAUGCGGAAGAGAUAAGUGCUGAAAGCAUCUAAGCACGAAACUUGCCCCGAGAUGAGUUCUCCCUGAGACUUAGAGUCUCCUGAAGGAACGUUGAAGACGACGACGUUGAUAGGCCGGGUGUGUAAGCGCAGCGAUGCGUUGAGCUAACCGGUACUAAUGAACCGUGAGGCUUAACCUUACAACGCCGAAGCUGUU